UACAGAGGGUGCAAGCGUUAAUCGGAAUUACUGGGCGUAAAGCGUGCGUAGGUGGUUUGUUAAGUCGGGUGUGAAAUCCUUGGGCUCAACCUGAGAAUUGCAUCUGAAACUGGCGAGCUAGAGUGUGGUAGAGGGUAGUGGAACUCCCGGUGUAGCGGUGAAAUGCGUAGAUAUCGGGAAGAACACCAGUGGCGAAGGCGGCUACCUGGACCAACACUGACACUGAGGCACGAAAGCGUGGGGAGCAAACAGG
Molecule: ribosomal RNA, 253 nt
Filed under: uncultured bacterium
Lineage: Bacteria
Description: partial 16S ribosomal RNA
Rfam family: Bacterial small subunit ribosomal RNA
Source: RNAcentral